GGAGUGGGGACUUGGAGGGGGGCAGGAUUUCUGCCAGCCUUGCGUGGAAGCAAUUAUCGCUCGUAGGUGAAAAAUCCGCUCUUAGGUAGGGAGAAGAAUUGUACCCAAGAAUCAAUAUUGGAAGAGGUCAUCUUUUCCACAUCGCUUAGCCUCUGAGGAUUACUGAUGCGCAGCUCUGUGUUUUGAGCCUUCACAAGCCAUUUUUCUUUUCUCUGGGACGACUGAGGUAUUGUGCUGCUUUCAGCCUCAUUCCCCGCACAGAACGACAGCUUCUCCAUGAAGACACAAAGCUGCUGCACAUCCAUGCCGAAGACCCAGAAGCAUGCUUGAUGUCAUUUUAAUCCUGAUGCAGUGUAGGAUAACUACCAGGAUUCUGGUCAGGUUAUCUGCUACCAAGAUGGGCACAACAGUCAUCACUAUAGAAGAAGUGAAGCAACUGGAAGAGAAGGGGGAGAAAGAGGAGUCAGUACUAGCCAUGCUUGGGAUCAUUGGGACUGUGCUCAAUCUCUUUGUCAUUGUGUUUGUCUACAUCUACACGACGCUGUGAGGACCAGCCCCGCGCCAAAGACGCAACCCUACUGUCUCGUCUGUUGGGUCAAACGGGCUCAUAACAAAAGGCAGAGCCAGCAUGCGUUAAAGGCCAUUCAUCAGCUGGUGUCCCCCGAGCAGCUGCAGAGAGCACCAUGGAAAUCACAGUCCUGAGACCAGCCAGACGGUUCAACUGCCCGACGCAGAGCUCUACAGCGUGGAGAAGAUAUUCAGCUUGCAAGGUCUUGGGGCCAGGCUAUAAGCAACAAAACUGCGUUGAAAAGACUGGCUGUGGAUCAGACAGAAACGACUGCUUUUGUAAGAGAAACUGAAGCCUCCUGAAGCCCAUCCUACAGGUUCACAUCACUCUGUUUCAUAAAAAUGCAAGGAGAAGAGGAGCAACACAAGUGACAAGGUCACUGUUCUGAAUAAACCAUGUUAAGACUGAAGAAAGUGGACAAGACCAGCCAGUUCUGUAAUUAAAAAACAAUACAUAUCCACUGAAUGUCAAACCUUCUCUGGAGUACUGGUCCGCCAACACAGAAUUUUAUAGCAUUACAGAUCAUAUUUUUACUGACUUGCAGAUAGCUCAUUACUUAAUUUCUCAGAAAGCAGAGAUGCCCUGAUACUUGACUACAGGCUUACCUAUAAGUUCAACUCUAGCGUUUUGAAAAUGACAACUGGAGGAUGACAGUUUCUAUUUACAUGACAUUUUACCAGUGAUAUAACUUAAAAAAAGAGAAGAAAGCUGCCAAAACUUAAGCUGUUGUUCUUGAUUUUCCUAAUUCUUCAAGACCAGACACAAAAGAGAGGUCUGCAAUAAUAAAAUAAAUAUAUUUUUAUAAUGAAAAGCACUGUAAAUUAUGUAAAAGGGGGAUAAAAUGUGCUAUUUGAGCCUUUCGGAUUGCAUCACUUUGCCAUUACCAAUGCAGGUUACUGUACUAAUAAGUGUACUAUUUGCAAUUACACAGUAUAAUCAGUUUGAUCAAACUAAUGUAUAUUUUCAGAACAGUAUAAAUACUAAAUGUCUGUAUAAAGAUGAGGAUAGACAGCUGUUUCUAUAUUGAAACCUAGAAGAUAGAAGGACGGAGAGAAAAUGUGAAGGAGGUGGAAAAAGCAAUCUGUGAGAAUUAAAAACACAGGGAAAUGUGGAGUUCAGCAGCACUUUAUAAAGGGGUUAUAAACUUGAUGUAUCAGUGGACAAGAAUUUAUAUCAGAAUAAGGGGACCUCUUCAGUCACUACAGUACAUCACAAAAUACAUUUUAUAGUGUCUAAAGCUCCAAUAUAUGAGCAUUGACUAUGGCCAUUUUUUUGCAUACAUUAUUUUGAGCUGGGAAGUAAUAAGGCACACCCAAUUUAAAAAGCUUACAUUUUUUUUUAAUUUACAAAUAAUUAAUACAGAAUAGAAACAUUAAUAAUUGUUAGUGCUUUAUUUUAGAUUGGUUUGAGUAAUCAGAGAUUUCUUCAAAGAGCCAUAUUAUACCACAACAUGAAUCCACAUGAAGUGCAUUAAUAAAACCCUUUAAGAGGUGGUAUGUUAAGAAGCAGUGUUUUUAAGGCAGGCGACUUAUACACUGCAGUGAUAAACCUGCUUUCCUUUGUGUAUAAUGCGACUGCCUGUACCCAUGUCUUAACAAUGAAAAAUUGUAUUUAUCAGCUUCUUCUGAGUCACAUGUAAAAAUAAAUCUUUAUUAAAAUCUUCA
Non-coding RNA from Lepisosteus oculatus (spotted gar), 2232 nucleotides. Lineage: Eukaryota; Metazoa; Chordata; Actinopteri; Semionotiformes; Lepisosteidae. The record is from RefSeq and is a predicted model, not a curated record.